GAAUGGGGAAACCCAGCAUGAGUUAUGUCAUGUUAUCGAUAUGUGAAUACAUAGCAUAUCAGAAGGCACACCCGGAGAACUGAAACAUCUUAGUACCCGGAGGAAGAGAAAGAAAAUUCGAUUCCCUUAGUAGCGGCGAGCGAAACGGGAAGAGCCCAAACCAACAAGCUUGCUUGUUGGGGUUGUAGGACACUCUAUACGGAGUUACAAAGGACGACAUUAGACGAAUCAUCUGGAAAGAUGAAUCAAAGAAGGUAAUAAUCCUGUAGUCGAAAAUGUUGUCUCUCUUGAGUGGAUCCUGAGUACGACGGAGCACGUGAAAUUCCGUCGGAAUCUGGGAGGACCAUCUCCUAAGGCUAAAUACUCUCUAGUGACCGAUAGUGAACCAGUACCGUGAGGGAAAGGUGAAAAGCACCCCGGAAGGGGAGUGAAAUAGAACCUGAAACCGUGUGCUUACAAGUAGUCAGAGCCCGUUAAUGGGUGAUGGCGUGCCUUUUGUAGAAUGAACCGGCGAGUUACGAUUUGAUGCAAGGUUAAGCAGUAAAUGUGGAGCCGUAGCGAAAGCGAGUCUGAAUAGGGCGUUUAGUAUUUGGUCGUAGACCCGAAACCAGGUGAUCUACCCUUGGUCAGGUUGAAGUUCAGGUAACACUGAAUGGAGGACCGAACCGACUUACGUUGAAAAGUGAGCGGAUGAACUGAGGGUAGCGGAGAAAUUCCAAUCGAACCUGGAGAUAGCUGGUUCUCUCCGAAAUAGCUUUAGGGCUAGCCUCAAGUGAUGAUUAUUGGAGGUAGAGCACUGUUUGGACGAGGGGCCCCUCUCGGGUUACCGAAUUCAGACAAACUCCGAAUGCCAAUUAAUUUAACUUGGGAGUCAGAACAUGGGUGAUAAGGUCCGUGUUCGAAAGGGAAACAGCCCAGACCACCAGCUAAGGUCCCAAAAUAUAUGUUAAGUGGAAAAGGAUGUGGCGUUGCCCAGACAACUAGGAUGUUGGCUUAGAAGCAGCCAUCAUUUAAAGAGUGCGUAAUAGCUCACUAGUCGAGUGACACUGCGCCGAAAAUGUACCGGGGCUAAACAUAUUACCGAAGCUGUGGAUUGUCCUUUGGACAAUGGUAGGAGAGCGUUCUAAGGGCGUUGAAGCAUGAUCGUAAGGACAUGUGGAGCGCUUAGAAGUGAGAAUGCCGGUGUGAGUAGCGAAAGACGGGUGAGAAUCCCGUCCACCGAUUGACUAAGGUUUCCAGAGGAAGGCUCGUCCGCUCUGGGUUAGUCGGGUCCUAAGCUGAGGCCGACAGGCGUAGGCGAUGGAUAACAGGUUGAUAUUCCUGUACCACCUAUAAUCGUUUUAAUCGAUGGGGGGACGCAGUAGGAUAGGCGAAGCGUGCGAUUGGAUUGCACGUCUAAGCAGUAAGGCUGAGUAUUAGGCAAAUCCGGUACUCAUUAAGGCUGAGCUGUGAUGGGGAGAAGACAUUGUGUCUUCGAGUCGUUGAUUUCACACUGCCGAGAAAAGCCUCUAGAUAGAAAAUAGGUGCCCGUACCGCAAACCGACACAGGUAGUCAAGAUGAGAAUUCUAAGGUGAGCGAGCGAACUCUCGUUAAGGAACUCGGCAAAAUGACCCCGUAACUUCGGGAGAAGGGGUGCUCUUUAGGGUUAACGCCCAGAAGAGCCGCAGUGAAUAGGCCCAAGCGACUGUUUAUCAAAAACACAGGUCUCUGCUAAACCGUAAGGUGAUGUAUAGGGGCUGACGCCUGCCCGGUGCUGGAAGGUUAAGAGGAGUGGUUAGCUUCUGCGAAGCUACGAAUCGAAGCCCCAGUAAACGGCGGCCGUAACUAUAACGGUCCUAAGGUAGCGAAAUUCCUUGUCGGGUAAGUUCCGACCCGCACGAAAGGCGUAACGAUUUGGGCACUGUCUCAACGAGAGACUCGGUGAAAUCAUAGUACCUGUGAAGAUGCAGGUUACCCGCGACAGGACGGAAAGACCCCGUGGAGCUUUACUGUAGCCUGAUAUUGAAAUUCGGCACAGCUUGUACAGGAUAGGUAGGAGCCUUUGAAACGUGAGCGCUAGCUUACGUGGAGGCGCUGGUGGGAUACUACCCUAGCUGUGUUGGCUUUCUAACCCGCACCACUUAUCGUGGUGGGAGACAGUGUCAGGCGGGCAGUUUGACUGGGGCGGUCGCCUCCUAAAAGGUAACGGAGGCGCUCAAAGGUUCCCUCAGAAUGGUUGGAAAUCAUUCAUAGAGUGUAAAGGCAUAAGGGAGCUUGACUGCGAGACCUACAAGUCGAGCAGGGUCGAAAGACGGACUUAGUGAUCCGGUGGUUCCGCAUGGAAGGGCCAUCGCUCAACGGAUAAAAGCUACCCCGGGGAUAACAGGCUUAUCUCCCCCAAGAGUUCACAUCGACGGGGAGGUUUGGCACCUCGAUGUCGGCUCAUCGCAUCCUGGGGCUGUAGUCGGUCCCAAGGGUUGGGCUGUUCGCCCAUUAAAGCGGUACGCGAGCUGGGUUCAGAACGUCGUGAGACAGUUCGGUCCCUAUCCGUCGUGGGCGUAGGAAAUUUGAGAGGAGCUGUCCUUAGUACGAGAGGACCGGGAUGGACAUACCUCUGGUGUACCAGUUGUCGUGCCAACGGCAUAGCUGGGUAGCUAUGUGUGGACGGGAUAAGUGCUGAAAGCAUCUAAGCAUGAAGCCCCCCUCAAGAUGAGAUUUCCCAACUUCGGUUAUAAGAUCCCUCAAAGAUGAUGAGGUUAAUAGGUUCGAGGUGGAAGCAUGGUGACAUGUGGAGCUGACGAAUACUAAUCGAUCGAAGACUUAAUCAA
RNAcentral lists this ribosomal RNA (2808 nucleotides) under Staphylococcus aureus. RNAcentral describes it as "partial 23S ribosomal RNA". It matches the Rfam family "Bacterial large subunit ribosomal RNA". Lineage: Bacteria; Bacillati; Bacillota; Bacilli; Caryophanales; Staphylococcaceae. The record is from RNAcentral.